CGAACACUCAAGAUGGAAUCCGAAAUGUAUAUAUGUUCUAUUAUCAAAAGGAAAUCAGUUUAUUGAAAAUGUGAUAAAAAAAUACGAAAUGCGGAUAUCGUAUUAAAAUAUAACCUCCGACUCUGUAAACAUAAUAUGAAUAUCAUAAAAAAAAUAGUAUACUUUCUAUUAACACAAUUGAUUAUAAGAUUUUUAAAGAGAUGGAAAAUUGAGUACUAUAUAAUAAGGAAACAUUUUUUUAAAAACAUUCAGUUUUAUUGUGAACACAAGUAUACGCAGAACACCAACAUUUUUUUUUCAAACAUCUACAGAAAUUUAAAUAAAAAAUGGAUUUAGAAAUGGAUUAUGCACAUCCAUUAUUUGAUCAUAUCAAAAACGAAAUCAAAAGACUAAAAAAUGAAAUGGAUAACAACGAAAAACAAGAAAUACUAGAUCAGAGAGAAAGAAAAACUGCGCUAACUUUAAUUAAAAGAGACAUUAAAAUGUUAAAACAUGAAAAAUUUUUAGCAAAAACAUACUCAUUUGACACAGAAAAAGAAAAAAAUUUAAAAGAAAGAAUAAAAAAAUUAAAGGAAACACAACAGCUUGUGAAAAAUUAUUAUGCCCUUUAUUCGUAUACAAGUUUUGAAAGAGAUAAUUCAACUCAUAACCUAUGCAAUAAAUUUUAUGUAUUAUUACGCGACAUGAAAGCACUAACAGAACCUAUUGAUUUUAUUAAUUAAAUUUAUAUUACUUGAAACAUUAGAUAUUAUUUAUUUUACUCAAUGAUUUUUUUUAUUUAAUAAAAAUAAAAUAUUUAUAUAUAUUUAAAGAGAAAAAAAAAUGUUUUU
This is a long non-coding RNA of Rhopalosiphum padi (bird cherry-oat aphid), 830 nucleotides long. RefSeq lists it as uncharacterized. The transcript has 3 exons. The record is from RefSeq and is a predicted model, not a curated record. Lineage: Eukaryota; Metazoa; Arthropoda; Insecta; Hemiptera; Aphididae.